ACACAUGCAAGUCGAGCGGCAGCGCGGGGCAACCCUGCCGGCGAGCGGCGAACGGGUGAGUAAUACAUCGGAACGUAUCCCGUAGAGGGGGAUAGCCCGGCGAAAGCCGGAUUAAUACCGCAUAUGCUCUACGGAGGAAAGCAGGGGACCUGAAAGGGCCUUGCGCUAUGGGAGCGGCCGAUGUCCGAUUAGCUUGUUGGCGGGGUAAUGGCCCACCAAGGCGACGAUCGGUAGCUGGUCUGAGAGGAUGAUCAGCCACACUGGGACUGAGACACGGCCCAGACUCCUACGGGAGGCAGCAGUGGGGAAUUUUGGACAAUGGGGGAAACCCUGAUCCAGCCAUGCCGCGUGAGUGAAGAAGGCCUUCGGGUUGUAAAGCUCUUUUGGUCGGAAAGAAGGAGUUCGGGUGAAUAACCUGGAUUUUUGACGGUACCGGCAGAAUAAG
This 445-nucleotide ribosomal RNA is filed under the name grassland soil clone saf1_324. RNAcentral's name for it is "bacterial SSU rRNA". It matches the Rfam family "Bacterial small subunit ribosomal RNA", at positions 51 to 490 of the family's 1533-position model. The record is from RNAcentral.